UACGGAGGGAGCUAGCGUUAUUCGGAAUUACUGGGCGUAAGCGCACGUAGGCGGCUUGUAAGUAAGAGGUGAAAGCCCAGAGCUCAACUCUGGAAUUGCCUUUUAGACUGCAUCGCUUGAAUCAUGGAGAGGUCAGUGGAAAUUUCCGAGUGUAGAGGGUGAAAUUCGUAGAUAUUUCGGGAAAGAAACACCAGUGGCGAAG
Molecule: ribosomal RNA, 202 nt
Filed under: uncultured bacterium
Lineage: Bacteria
Description: partial 16S ribosomal RNA
Rfam family: Bacterial small subunit ribosomal RNA
Source: RNAcentral